RNAcentral lists this long non-coding RNA (1366 nucleotides) under Betta splendens (Siamese fighting fish). Its description in RNAcentral is "lncRNA (ENSBSLG00000006030.1)". Lineage: Eukaryota; Metazoa; Chordata; Actinopteri; Anabantiformes; Osphronemidae. The record is from RNAcentral.
CCAGGAGCGAAAGCGGAACGUGUUCAGUGAGUUCAGUCUCCGUUUAAAGAGAACAGAGAAGGAGGAAAAGUUAAAUAAACACCGAGAAAAAGAAGAAACGUUGAGGAGAAGAUGAACAAUUUUUGUGUGGAGGAAGAGGACGGAGCAGAGUCUCCAGGAUCCAGAUGUGUGACUAUGAAGAAUGACUGGUCCAGAUGUGAGUCUCCAUCAUUCAGUCCUGAACCUGGAGCCUCAGACACAAAAGUCCAGAACCAGAGACAAAGAGCAGAACCUCCAGGACCCAGCUGUCUGUCUAUGAAGAGUGACUGGUCCAUACCUGAGCCUCUAACCUUCAGUAAUGAACCUGGAGCCUCAGACACAAAGUAAGAGACAGUUUCUACUGUUAACUGACCUAAUGGAGGAUUAAGGCAAAAAGAUGUGUAAACCACAUCUUUAAAUCUCCCUGCCAUUACACUAUAAAACCAUACAUUCUGUGAUGGAGGAAAGAAGUGAUAUUUGACAUUUUCAUUGUAUUCCACCAGAUCCAGCCUCUUUCCUAUUGAAGGCUUGUGUGUGUGUGUGUGUGUGUGUGUGUGUGUGUGUGUGUGUGUGUGUGUGUGUGUGUGUGUGUGUGUGUGUGUGUGUGUGUGUGUGUGUGUGUGUGUGUGUGUGUGUGUGUGUGCGUGCGAGAGAGCGAGAGAGCGAGAGAGAGAGAGAGAGAGAGAGAGAGAUUUGAUUUUUCACAAGACUGUAUUAGUCAGAGUGUCAAACUCAUGACAAGAAUAGUUUAAAAACUUACAAUGACAGCACAGGGUUAAAAUGAAAAACAGAUGAUAAUUUUCAAAAAAAGCUCAAAAUAAGACACAGAAACAAAACACACAAAAAAACAUAGCAGCAUGGUGACAAACUUGUUAAAAAACGCCAUCAUCCAGAUCUCGGCUUAUUUUGUGCAGUAUUUUCUUUAACCUGACAACUUCCUGGUUUGUGUAACCUCCUUUUACUUCCCAUUUGGUCAUAGACCGAGUUCACAAAACAUUCGUCAUCCGAAAAAUAAUCGUCAAUCUUCACACCCCUCUUAUUUUUCGUGUGCUGUAAAAACAGUUUAACCCGAUCAACUGAGUAGGUCUUGGGCUCCGGUGACUGAGACCUACAGUCAGACAUUUCACUGUCAGAGCUGAGAGAAAACUCAUCCUCACUGAGAUCUGAGUCUGCAGGUCAUCUGUCUGGUUUUUGGCCCUUUACCUUUUUCCCAGUUCCUGACUGAUCAUCUGUGUCAUCAACAGUAGUGUCGCUUUUUCUCUUUGUAUGUUCUUUCCUACCAUCACCCAUCCCUGCAUUCUCUUCAGCUACAGCACUGUUUACAUUUGGGUCCUGAUUACACAUUUCU